Molecule: long non-coding RNA, 255 nt
Filed under: Mytilus galloprovincialis (Mediterranean mussel)
Lineage: Eukaryota; Metazoa; Mollusca; Bivalvia; Mytilida; Mytilidae
Source: RNAcentral
GCCUCAUGACUUGUGUUUACCUGUUAAUUUGUGCAAAUGAAGAAAAUAAAUUUGGCGCAAAGAAAUAAAAAAAAAAAUAGGCGCUAAUUAAGUGCAGAUUGGCGCAAAUGGAAAAAGCCGAAGCAAAUAUAAUCUUUUCUCGUAUCAAGAUUUCAAGAUUUUAUUCAUAACCUCAGACACAUACUUGUGUACAAGAGGACAAUAAUAUAUACAACCAUAUUAAGAUAAUACAUAGCGAGACAGGACAAACGAAAC